GCGGCUUGUGGGCUGGCAGUCGGUGCCGUUGCCGGUGCCAGUGGCACCCCCGGCACCAUGGUCGGUUCGGCGUUCGGCGCGCCACUCGCCGCG
RNAcentral lists this transfer RNA (93 nucleotides) under Mycolicibacterium helvum. RNAcentral describes it as "tRNA-Gly". Lineage: Bacteria; Bacillati; Actinomycetota; Actinomycetes; Mycobacteriales; Mycobacteriaceae. The record is from RNAcentral.